Molecule: ribosomal RNA, 253 nt
Filed under: uncultured bacterium
Lineage: Bacteria
Description: partial 16S ribosomal RNA
Rfam family: Bacterial small subunit ribosomal RNA
Source: RNAcentral
CACGUAGGGGGCAAGCGUUGUCCGGAAUUAUUGGGCGUAAAGAGCUCGUAGGCGGUUCGUCACGUCGGGAGUGAAAACUCGGAGCUUAACUCCGAGCCUGCUUCCGAUACGGGCAGACUAGAGGUAGGCAGGGGAGAGCGGAACUCCUGGUGUAGCGGUGGAAUGCGCAGAUAUCAGGAAGAACACCGGUGGCGAAGGCGGCAUCCUGGACCAACACUGACACUGAGGAGCGAAAGCCAGGGGAGCAAACGGG